This 254-nucleotide ribosomal RNA is filed under the name uncultured bacterium. RNAcentral's name for it is "partial 16S ribosomal RNA". It matches the Rfam family "Bacterial small subunit ribosomal RNA", at positions 524 to 776 of the family's 1533-position model. The record is from RNAcentral.
UACGGGGGGAGCAAGCGUUGUUCGGAUUUACUGGGCGUAAAGGGCGCGUAGGCGGUCGUGACAAGUCACUUGUGAAAUCUCCGGGCUUAACUCGGAACGGUCAAGUGAUACUGUCGGACUAGAGUACAGAAGGGGCAACUGGAAUUCUCGGUGUAGCGGUGAAAUGCGUAGAUAUCAAGAGGAACACCUGAGGUGAAGACGGGUUGCUGGGCCAACACUGACGCUGAGGCGCGAAAGCCAGGGGAGCAAACGGG